GAGGUACGCGGAAGGGCCCUAUGGUCGCCC
RNAcentral lists this small RNA (30 nucleotides) under Bombyx mori (domestic silkworm). Its description in RNAcentral is "ovarian small RNA-15929". The record is from RNAcentral. Lineage: Eukaryota; Metazoa; Arthropoda; Insecta; Lepidoptera; Bombycidae.